AACGCUAGCUACAGGCUUAACACAUGCAAGUCGAGGGGCAUCAGGGUAGCAAUACCGCUGGCGACCGGCGCACGGGUGAGUAACACGUAUCCAACCUACCGUUAACUCGGGGAUAGCCUUUCGAAAGAAAGAUUAAUACCCGAUAGUAUAUUUUCUUCGCAUGUUGAAAAUAUUAAAGAAUUUCGGUUAUCGAUGGGGAUGCGUUCCAUUAGGCAGUUGGCGGGGUAACGGCCCACCAAACCUACGAUGGAUAGGGGUUCUGAGAGGAAGGUCCCCCACAUUGGAACUGAGACACGGUCCAAACUCCUACGGGAGGCAGCAGUGAGGAAUAUUGGUCAAUGGACGAAGGUCUGAACCAGCCAAGUAGCGUGAAGGAUGACUGCCCUAUGGGUUGUAAACUUCUUUUAUAUGGGAAUAAAGUUCUCCACGUGUGGAGUUUUGUAUGUACCAUUAUGAAUAAGCAUCGGCUAACUCCGUGCCAGCAGCCGCGGUAAUACGGAGGAUGCGAGCGUUAUCCGGAUUUAUUGGGUUUAAAGGGAGCGUAGGUGGACUGGUAAGACAGUUGUGAAAGUUUGCGGCUCAACCGUAAAAUUGCAGUUGAUACUGUCAGUCUUGAGUACAGUAGAGGUGGGCGGAAUUCGUGGUGUAGCGGUGAAAUGCUUAGAUAUCACGAAGAACUCCGAUUG
RNAcentral lists this ribosomal RNA (686 nucleotides) under uncultured bacterium. RNAcentral's name for it is "bacterial SSU rRNA". It matches the Rfam family "Bacterial small subunit ribosomal RNA", at positions 32 to 715 of the family's 1533-position model. The record is from RNAcentral.